RNAcentral lists this unclassified non-coding RNA (23 nucleotides) under Mus musculus (house mouse). Its description in RNAcentral is "oocyte_clustered_small_RNA10628". The record is from RNAcentral. Lineage: Eukaryota; Metazoa; Chordata; Mammalia; Rodentia; Muridae.
UCCAAAUGACAUGCAAUUGAAGA